RNAcentral lists this ribosomal RNA (207 nucleotides) under uncultured bacterium. RNAcentral's name for it is "partial 16S ribosomal RNA". It matches the Rfam family "Bacterial small subunit ribosomal RNA", at positions 568 to 774 of the family's 1533-position model. The record is from RNAcentral.
CGUGCAGAUGGUUUGGUAAGUUGGGUAUGAAAUCUCCUGGCUUAACUAGGAGAGGUUGCUCAAAACUACCAGACUGGAGGACGGUAGAGGAAGGUGGAAUUCCCGGUGUAGUAGCGAAAUGCGUAGAUAUCGGGAGGAACACCAGUGGCGAAGGCGGCCUUCUGGGCCGUUCCUGACACUAAGACGCGAAAGCAUGGGUAGCAAACG